This 914-nucleotide ribosomal RNA is filed under the name Eupsittula pertinax (brown-throated parakeet). RNAcentral's name for it is "partial 16S ribosomal RNA". It matches the Rfam family "Bacterial large subunit ribosomal RNA", at positions 962 to 2539 of the family's 2925-position model. The record is from RNAcentral. Lineage: Eukaryota; Metazoa; Chordata; Aves; Psittaciformes; Psittacidae.
ACCCAAAUGUAAUAGUCAAGGACUAUUUAAAGGGGGUACAGCCCCUUUAAAAAAGGACACAACCUCCACCAGCGGAUAACCCCCAUGCACCUAACCCCGUGGGCCUUAAAGCAGCCACCCCUAAAGAUUGCGUCAAAGCUCUGCCAACCAAAAACCCCAAAAAUCAAUGCGACUCCCUACACCCCCAGCAGGCCAACCUAUCACAAUAGAUGAAUCAAUGCUAGAACGAGUAACCAGGAUAUUAUGUCCCCCCAAGCGCCAGCCUACACACAUUAACAGCAAAACCCCAAUAAUAAUCACACCCCCACCAUUGAACACACCCUGUCAACCCAACUCAGGGGCGCACAUUGGAGCGAUCAAAGUCUACAAAAGGAACUCGGCAAACCCAAGACCCGACUGUUUACCAAAAACAUAGCCUCCAGCCAAACAAGUAUUGGAGGUGAUGCCUGCCCAGUGACACCACGUUUAACGGCCGCGGUAUCCUAACCGUGCAAAGGUAGCGCAAUCAAUUGUCCCAUAAAUCGAGACCUGUAUGAAUGGCUAAACGAGGUCUUAACUGUCUCCUGUAGACAAUCAGUGAAACUGAUCUCUCUGUAAAAAAGCAGAGAUAAGCACAUAAGACGAGAAGACCCUGUGGAACUUCAAAAUCAGUAGCCACCCCACCCAACUUACAAACCCACCCGGUCCACCACUCAAAACACUGGCUAACAUUUUUAGGUUGGGGCGACCUUGGAGAAAAACAGAUCCUCCAAAAACAAGGCCAAAUCCCUUAACUAAGAGCAACCCCUCAACGUGCCAACAGCACCCAGACCCAGCAAGCCUGACCAAUGAACCAAGCUACCCCAGGGAUAACAGCGCAAUCUCCCCCAAGAGCCCCUAUCGACGAGGAGGUUUACGCCCUCGAUGUUGGAUCA